CCUACGGGUGACAGCAGUGAGGAAUAUUGGUCAAUGGGCGGGAGCCUGAACCAGCCAAGUCGCGUGAGGGAAGACGGUCCUAUGGAUUGUAAACCUCGUUAGGCGGGGAGAAAGGCCGGGCAAGUGUGCCCGGAGGGAGAGGACCCGCAGAAUAAGCAGCGGCUAACUCCGUGGCAGCAGCCGCGGUAAUAAGGAGGAUGCGAGCGUUAUCAGGAUUGAGUGGGGUUAAAGGGUGCGUAGGCGGAUUUUUAAGUCAGCGGUAAAAUGUCCGGGCUCAACCCGGGCCCGCCGUUGACACUGGGGAUCUUUAGUGGGCUAGAAGUAUGCGGAAUGCGUGGUGUAGCGGUGAAAUGCAUAGCUUUCACGCAGAACUCCGAUUGCGAAGGCAGCAUACCGGCGCCCUCCUGACGCUGAGGCACGAAAGCGUGGGGAUCGAACAGGAUUAGCUACCCGGGUAGUC
This 460-nucleotide ribosomal RNA is filed under the name uncultured bacterium. RNAcentral describes it as "partial 16S ribosomal RNA". It matches the Rfam family "Bacterial small subunit ribosomal RNA", at positions 338 to 795 of the family's 1533-position model. The record is from RNAcentral.